UACGUAGGUGGCGAGCGUUGUCCGGAUUUACUGGGCGUAAAGGGAGCGUAGGCGGACUUUUAAGUGAGAUGUGAAAUACUCGGGCUUAACCUGAGUGCUGCAUUUCAAACUGAAAGUCUAGAGUGCAGGAGAGGAGAAGGGAAUUCCUAGUGUAGCGGUGAAAUGCGUAGAGAUUAGGAAGAACACCAGUGGCGAAGGCGCUUCUCUGGACUGUAACUGACGCUGAGGCUAGAAAGCGUGGGGAGCAAACAGG
This 253-nucleotide ribosomal RNA is filed under the name uncultured bacterium. Its description in RNAcentral is "partial 16S ribosomal RNA". It matches the Rfam family "Bacterial small subunit ribosomal RNA", at positions 524 to 776 of the family's 1533-position model. The record is from RNAcentral.